AUUGUCGAAUCCUGCAAAAGCAGCACGACCGCGAACCCGUUAUGCCUUCUCGGGAUCGGGCGGUCGGCGGCUCGCCGCCCCCCGCUCGCGUCCCGAUCCGGGGCCCCUGGCCCCGAACGAACGAACCCCGGCGCGGGCCGCGCCAAGGAAUACGUACAACGAGGGCCUCUCCCUCCCCGUCCCGUUCGCGGGCCGCGGGGUGGGGCGAUGGCUUCUCUCGGAACACGAACGAACGACUCUCGGCAACGGAUAUCUCGGCUCUCGCAUCGAUGAAGAACGUAGCGAAAUGCGAUACUUGGUGUGAAUUGCAGAAUCCCGUGAACCAUCGAGUCUUUGAACGCAAGUUGCGCCCGAAGUCGUCAGGCUGAGGGCACGUCUGCCUGGGCGUCACGCAUCCCGUCGCCCCCUCCACCCGCGGAGGGGGACGGAUUCUGGCCUCCCGUGCCCCUCGGGCGCGGCUGGCCGAAAUGGUGGUCCGUCACGACUGGACGUCACGACAAGUGGUGGUUGGUCAUCUCAACUCUCGUGCUGUCGUGGCACUCCCGUCGUGCGUCGUGGACCGACGAGACCCUGAAGCGCCGUCCCUCGCGUUGGCGAGGCGCCGCGACCGCGAAGCGACCCCAGGUCAGGCGGGGUUACCCGCUGAGUUUAACUUCAUA
This 659-nucleotide ribosomal RNA is filed under the name Euploca strigosa. Its description in RNAcentral is "eukaryotic LSU rRNA". The stretch from base 235 to 390 matches the Rfam family "5.8S ribosomal RNA". Lineage: Eukaryota; Viridiplantae; Streptophyta; Magnoliopsida; Boraginales; Heliotropiaceae. The record is from RNAcentral.